Molecule: ribosomal RNA, 639 nt
Filed under: uncultured Acidovorax sp.
Lineage: Bacteria; Pseudomonadati; Pseudomonadota; Betaproteobacteria; Burkholderiales; Comamonadaceae
Description: bacterial SSU rRNA
Rfam family: Bacterial small subunit ribosomal RNA
Source: RNAcentral
AAACUUAAAUGAAUUGACGGGGACCCGCACAAGCGGUGGAUGAUGUGGUUUAAUUCGAUGCAACGCGAAAAACCUUACCCACCUUUGACAUGUACGGAAUCCUUUAGAGAUAGAGGAGUGCUCGAAAGAGAGCCGUAACACAGGUGCUGCAUGGCUGUCGUCAGCUCGUGUCGUGAGAUGUUGGGUUAAGUCCCGCAACGAGCGCAACCCUUGUCAUUAGUUGCUACAUUCAGUUGGGCACUCUAAUGAGACUGCCGGUGACAAACCGGAGGAAGGUGGGGAUGACGUCAAGUCCUCAUGGCCCUUAUAGGUGGGGCUACACACGUCAUACAAUGGCUGGUACAGAGGGUUGCCAACCCGCGAGGGGGAGCCAAUCCCAUAAAGCCAGUCGUAGUCCGGAUCGCAGUCUGCAACUCGACUGCGUGAAGUCGGAAUCGCUAGUAAUCGCGGAUCAGAAUGUCGCGGUGAAUACGUUCCCGGGUCUUGUACACACCGCCCGUCACACCAUGGGAGCGGGUUCUGCCAGAAGUAGUUAGCCUAACCGCAAGGAGGGCGAUUACCACGGCAGGGUUCGUGACUGGGGUGAAGUCGUAACAAGGUAGCCGUAUCGGAAGGUGCGGCUGGAUCACCUCCUUUAUG